UUUAAACACAACCGUAAGUUUUCGAGUUCAAUUUUGAUCGUCCAUCUUAUUUAAAAUUUUUUUUAUAAUUAGUAUUUUUUGUUGUUAUUAGAUGAUAAAACAUGAAUAGUACUCUAUAAGUGACUUAUGUUUUUUUUAAUUUUUUUAAAGAUUUUAGAUUUUCUCAAAUAAGACCGACGAUUAAAGUUAGAUACGGAAAUCUAUAGUUACGUUUAAA
This is a microRNA precursor of Oryza sativa Japonica Group (Japanese rice), 217 nucleotides long. It matches the Rfam family "MIR812 microRNA precursor family". Lineage: Eukaryota; Viridiplantae; Streptophyta; Magnoliopsida; Poales; Poaceae. The record is from Rfam.